CCUACGGGUGGCAGCAGUCGAGAAUUAUUCACAAUGGGGGAAACCCUGAUGGUGCGACGCCGCGUGGGGGAAUGAAGGUCUUCGGAUUGUAAACCCCUGUCAUGUGGGAGCAAAUUAAAAAGAUAGUACCACAAGAGGAAGAGACGGCUAACUCUGUGCCAGCAGCCGCGGUAAUACAGAGGUCUCAAGCGUUGUUCGGAAUCACUGGGCGUAAAGCGUGCGUAGGCUGUUUCGUAAGUCGUGUGUGAAAGGCGCGGGCUCAACCCGCGGACGGCACAUGAUACUGCGAGACUAGAGUAAGGGAGGGGGAACCGGAAUUCGUGGUGUAGCAGUGAAAUGCGUAGAUAUCGAGAGGAACACUCGUGGCGAAGGCGGGUUCCUGGACAUUAACUGACGCUGAGGCACGAAGGCCAGGGGAGCGAAAGGGAUUAGAUACCCCAGUAGUC
This 446-nucleotide ribosomal RNA is filed under the name uncultured bacterium. Its description in RNAcentral is "partial 16S ribosomal RNA". It matches the Rfam family "Bacterial small subunit ribosomal RNA", at positions 338 to 795 of the family's 1533-position model. The record is from RNAcentral.